RNAcentral lists this ribosomal RNA (548 nucleotides) under uncultured bacterium. RNAcentral describes it as "bacterial SSU rRNA". It matches the Rfam family "Bacterial small subunit ribosomal RNA", at positions 356 to 896 of the family's 1533-position model. The record is from RNAcentral.
GGGGAAUUUUGGACAAUGGGCGCAAGCCUGAUCCAGCCAUGCCGCGUGUCUGAAGAAGGCCUUCGGGUUGUAAAGGACUUUUGUCAGGGAAGAAAAGGCUGUUGCUAAUAUCAAUAGCUGAUGACGGUACCUGAAGAAUAAGCACCGGCUAACUACGUGCCAGCAGCCGCGGUAAUACGUAGGGUGCGAGCGUUAAUCGGAAUUACUGGGCGUAAAGCGAGCGCAGACGGUUACUUAAGCAGGAUGUGAAAUCCCCGGGCUCAACCUGGGAACUGCGUUCUGAACUGAGUGACUAGAGUGUGUCAGAGGGAGGUAGAAUUCCACGUGUAGCAGUGAAAUGCGUAGAGACGUGGAGGAAUACCGAUGGCGAAGGCAGCCUCCUGGGAUAACACUGACGUUCAUGCUCGAAAGCGUGGGUAGCAAACAGGAUUAGAUACCCUGGUAGUCCACGCCCUAAACGAUGUCAAUUAGCUGUUGGGCAACUUGAUUGCUUAGUAGCGUAGCUAACGCGUGAAAUUGACCGCCUGGGGAGUACGGUCGCAAGAUUA